GGGUGGGAAGACAAAGUUUUGCGUUAGAUUGUAGCUCUAGUUUUGGGAGAAAACAUCUCCCCUCACUCA
RNAcentral lists this transfer RNA (69 nucleotides) under Tridacna derasa. Its description in RNAcentral is "tRNA-Tyr". The record is from RNAcentral. Lineage: Eukaryota; Metazoa; Mollusca; Bivalvia; Cardiida; Cardiidae.